GAGUCUUGAAACAAGUUGCUAGAAAUUCUAGAAGACUCAUCAAAAAGACUCAAAAGGACUUUUACAAAAAAUAUUCGAAAGAAAUCUUAAGACUUAAUUGUUAGCUCUACCUUGAACUUGAAUUAUGAAUUCAAGGUUAUGAUUUGUCAAAGGAAAGAUAUCGUGAAAAUUAAAAGUGUUUGAGAUAGUUUAUCAUGAGAAACGGUUUAAAAUCAUUGUGUAGGGAGCAAGUCCGUGAAGCGGAGAUGAAAUAUUAUGUUUGGUUGAGAUAAUUUUUGAAACAGUGGAGUCCGCUUUCUCUCUGUGACGCGGAAAGAAAGAAUUUCACAUAUGAGGAACAAGUCCGCGGACCUGGUCCUUAUUUUCUGCUCGACUUUUCUUACUUGUCUUUGCCCAUAAUUCUCGUAGAAUAGAAUGAUUUCUUUCCCAAUCACUUGGAUUCAAUUACUCGACACAGUCACACUCUAAUUUACUAAGUACAGCCCUUAAAUUUCUCACUUUCAUAUAAAAAAUUCAUCAAACCCCCCAAAAAACAAGAUUUAGAAUGGAACUUUAAGAACACUUUUCAUGAAUAUAAAUCUUGCAAUAUUUAUGGACGAAUUCAAAUAUGAAAAAUUAUGUUUUGCGUAUGGGUGAACGUAUCCAAUACCAUGGAAACCUACAUAUCUCUUGAGUAUCAAACCCAUGGCGAAAAUCUGCAAUGUAACUGAAGAACAUCGACAUACGCCUUGAUUCUUUGCUUUUUUCUCCUUUUUUCUCUUCUUGAACUCUUCAUGAAAAUCCUAGGCAUGUAUUAGGAUUAUAAAAAUGAACCUAAUAGGAUUACACUCUUAAAACCUUACUAAAAACAAUUAAAUCUAAUUAUAUAACAAAAAGACCAAAACACCCCUCCCCAUUUUAGGUAACUUUCCUUAACUGAAAAGACUAACUUUUAAAGGGCAUAUCUCAUUCCUCCGACCUUCAAACUUAGAAAACUCGAUUGCAUUGUAAACAUAUUUCAAAGACCUUUCAUUUUCCAUCUCAUGGAAAACCUAAAUCAGUGUUAUGAUCGUUUGAAGUUGAUCCAAAUCAUACAUGAACUUAGGAAGUACUUGAACGAAUUCUCUUCUAUUCUUGUUGGAACUCAAGAUGCUACAUCUAGUGACCUUAAAACAUAAGAAAAUUUAAAUUCCUCGGUCAAAAUUUACUCACUACAAAAGAUGGUUCAAGUCUUAGCUCAAAAUAUUUCCUGUGUGUUGCAAUAUCUUUUCCUUGGGAUUAUUCUUCCUCAAAUGAUGACGGAACUAGGUAUCAAAUGGGGUUACUCUUACCAAAGUUUGAUUCUAAUGGUAGUCUUCAAGUAUAUUCAACCUUAACCCAAAUCCAUAGGUUCGAGUUCUAUACCUCUUGUAGGGAAUCUCAUCCCAAGACUAUUUCCACAUUCAACUUAGUACUCUAACAACUCCAUGGACCCCUACUAACCAACUCCUUUGGAGCAAACUAAGGGCUCUCAUUUAACUGUUUCUAAUAGUAAAACCUCAUCCUCCUUUUUAUAACCUUAGAUUUAAUUAUCAAACCAUCAUCAUCACGAUUAGAUGAUUAAACCUUCUCCUUCUAAUAUAACUCCACUAGUAAAAGAACUUCUAAUAAAAUAUCUCACAUACUCUUUGGAACUCAUUACUAUCUUACUCUCAAACACUUGAGUUGAUUUAUCAUCUUAUCAUCUCCUCCUUAGAUCUGAAGCUUCCAGUUGAAAGCUAUAAACCUAUUCCAUCAUCUCUAACGGGUGUACAUCCUCUUUUCCUCUAACACUUGUGAGAAUCUUAUCUCAUGACUAUGGAAAUCUGAAUAAGCUAGUACUAAGACCUCUUUCUAAGGUGUUUCUCUUGACCUCUCAUGAUUACAUACCACGUCAGUAUACCUACUAAUGCUUGUGUUAUUCUUACACUACAAGAAAAAGACUUUGUUAAGACCAAUACUUAAGGACGAGUCUAUAUUCUUGUCUCUAAAAGUAUACCUUUUGGGACGAGAUUAUAUUUCGGUCUUUAUUGGUAUAUGUUAUUGUGAAGACAUCAAAUUCGGUCCCUAAAAGAGUUACUAACUAGUCCCUAAAUGUAAUUGGAUACAUAUUUUGAGGCUUGAGCGGGAAAGUAAUUCCACCAAUCUGAAAAAUAUUUCUUUGAACAAAAUUUUAGGUGCUAAAACAUUAAUCCUAAAAGUAAAAAGAAAAAACCUUAUUCUCAAAUAUAUAGAAGCUUGUCCUAAAGUUGCCCUACUUCAGCUCACAACUACGUACACCUGAUGGAAAAUGAAACGUCCAUGCUGCCCUAGCUAAUCUCAAUGAAUCUCUGCCCCUUGAAUGGAUAGAUGUGUAUUCUUCUUUGUGUUGUUGUUUUCUCCCCUAAUCUCAACGAGAUAUUGAUAAAGGUGUCUUCUUUUUCCUCGUGUUGUUGCUUCUCGAUCUGGUAGAAAUAUAGCAUUAAAGCUUUGGUCGAGACAAUAUUCAGCUCAGCAAAGAGUUCAAGAAAGGUCGUGCAUUUGAUGGGUGGUCCGAAGGUACUUUAAACUUUCCGCUGACUUAUAAGUAUGAAGUAAACUCAGAAAAGUAUUGUGGAGAGGAUCCAAAGGACGGGAGACGUAGUCCAGCAUGGUAUGUAGCUAUUAUUAUUGUUAGUUAUAUAGCUUUAGUGGAUGUUCACUCAUUAGUCUUUGUUUGUAUAGCCCAAUAUCUUAAAAGUUUGGCUUGAUUCUAAUCUAUGAUGCGUACAACAAAUCAAUAUAUUCUAAUCUAUUGAUAAAGUUGUCUUCUUCUUCCUCGCGUUGUUGCUGCUCGAUCCGGUAGAAAUAGAAUCCAUCAAAGCUUUGCUCGAGAUAAAAUUUGAGGUGUGUUCUUUCUUCUAAUCGAGUUGUUGUGCUGUUCGAAAUAGAAUCCUACACGGCUUUGCUUGGGACAAUAUUGGAGGUGAGUUAAUCUUCGAGUAAUGACUUGUAAUAUAACAACUCGUCUUCUUGGUUACAAGUAACUAUUAGAAACUCCAUGUAUAAAAAAAUAGAAGUGAAAGACUGAUUUUGUUGUUGUGGAAAUAUAGGUUGAAGUAGGACUAUUGAGAAACUGUUGUUGAUUGUCCUGCAGAUUUGUCUUAGUAGUUUCAUCAAUCGAGCUAGGAUUCCUACCUUGUUUUUAUGGAAUGUUUCUUUUUGCAACCUGGAACUGCUGCAAUUCUCCAUUUUUUUAUUCUGAUCUUGCUCUGUCCUGCACUUGAAUUGAAAAACUUAGAUGAAUUUGAAUUGAAAACUUAGAUAAGUUUGAACAUCGGUAAUACUUAACUUUAAGAAAGUUUGAAAAAGAGUAAAAUGUAUUAUAUCCAUCAGUUUGCAGGUACAUAUAAAUAGUAGUAAUUAACUCUACUUUGUUGUUAUAAAAAUCUACAACUACUGGAAUAAGAGAAACUUAAUCAAGAAAAUUAGCAACAACUAGGAGUUCUUUUUCAUUUGGUCUUACAAAUAAAUAGUAGUUAUGUUCAUUUUGUCUUGCAAUAGAGAAGUUCUGUGGAAUCUCUGUUUUUUAAUAGUUAGAGACCAGAUAACAUAAUUUAAUUCUCCGUCUUUUCUAUUUUUUUAGACGUCAUACCUGCCUGCUCGUGACUAGUUUAGUGUUAAUUGACCAAGACUUCUCUUCUUGAAGUGUUUUGAUUGCCCUGCAGAUUUGCCUAGUACGUAGUUUCAUCAAUCGAGCUAGGAGUCCUACCUUGUUUUCGUGAAAUGUUUCUCUUUGCAACCUGAUCAACAAUAACACUACCUAUACAUAUGAUCAACAAUAACCAAAAAAGUUUUGUUACGAUCAAACUUCUCCCUAAAGACAUAGUUUGUCUACAUAUGUUCUGAAUGUUAUAUUGUAGAAACCACUAAUAUAAUAUAACAUAAAAUAACAUGAAAAUCGAUUCCAAAGAAAACUCAAUUGUUAUAAAUCGUUAUGAGUGACCAGAGAAUUCUUCGAGGCUCAUCAAUCACAUGUAGCAGCUACAACAUCGACUUUCUCAACUGAAUGACCACUACAUUUUCAGCUAACCAGCUUCUGCUGAUGUUUUGUAUAUCACUUGACAAAGGCUGUUUUUUGCCAGACUUUUGUUCAUACUUCAGUGAAGAUGCAAGUUUAGAAGAUGCACUAACUCAUUAUUAGUAAUUUGCUAUUAAUGUUUUGCAAAACUUUGGAUGUUAUCCAAAUAUUUUUGUUAAACGAAUAUAACGAAACUAACUUAAUGGGAGGUUAACCAAUUUAUUGUAAUUAAUCUUACUGUCUCUA
Molecule: long non-coding RNA, 4282 nt
Organism: Solanum pennellii
Lineage: Eukaryota; Viridiplantae; Streptophyta; Magnoliopsida; Solanales; Solanaceae
Exons: 3
Source: RefSeq, a predicted model, not a curated record